RNAcentral lists this ribosomal RNA (253 nucleotides) under uncultured bacterium. Its description in RNAcentral is "partial 16S ribosomal RNA". It matches the Rfam family "Bacterial small subunit ribosomal RNA", at positions 524 to 776 of the family's 1533-position model. The record is from RNAcentral.
GACGAAGGGGGCUAGCGUUGUUCGGAAUUACUGGGCGUAAAGCGCGUGUAGGCGGUUAUUCAAGUCGGGUGUGAAAGCCUUGAGCUCAACUCAAGAAAUGCACUCGGUACUGGGUGACUAGAGGACCGGAGAGGAUAGUGGAAUUCCCAGUGUAGUGGUGAAAUACGUAGAGAUUGGGAAGAACACCAGUGGCGAAGGCGGCUAUCUGGACGGUUUCUGACGCUAAGACGCGAAAGCGUGGGGAGCGAACAGG